AUGGACCCGGCCCAGGAGGAGCUCGAGCGCCGCAGCCGCUACCUCAGCUCGCUCGUCCGCCGCACCAGGCUCGACGACCCGCCCCAACCGGAGCCGGAGCCGGAGCCCAAGGUGGAGCGCAAACCGGCGGCGGAGCCCAGCGGCGGGGAGGGCAAGGCCGCUAAGCCGGAGACCAAGGAAAGGGAGGCGGCGAAGGUCAAAGGGGACGCCGCGAGCGGGGAGGGGAGGAAGGUGGCGGUGCGGGUGCGCGCGGCGGACAUGCCGCUGGCGCUGCAGCGGCGCGCGAUCUGGAUCGCCCGCGAGGUCGUCCUCUCCACGCCGCGCCUCGAGAGCAAGCGCCUCGCGCUCGCGCUCAAGAAGGAAUUCGACACGACAUACGGGCCUGCUUGGCACUGCAUCGUCGGCACAAGCUUUGGCUCCUACGUCACUCACUCCCUAGGAGGCUUCCUGUACUUCUCCGUCGACAAGGCGUACAUUCUUCUCUUCAGAACCGCUGUCGAGCCACUGAGUAAACCGUGA
Molecule: ribosomal RNA, 519 nt
Filed under: Triticum aestivum (bread wheat)
Lineage: Eukaryota; Viridiplantae; Streptophyta; Magnoliopsida; Poales; Poaceae
Description: partial small subunit ribosomal RNA
Source: RNAcentral